This 111-nucleotide ribosomal RNA is filed under the name Castor canadensis (American beaver). Lineage: Eukaryota; Metazoa; Chordata; Mammalia; Rodentia; Castoridae. The record is from RNAcentral.
GUCGAAGGCCUUUUCACCCUGAACGUGCCCAAUCUCGUCUGGUCUUGAAGCUAAACAGAGUCGGCCUGGUUAGUACUUGGAUAGAAGACAGAUUAGAAGAGACUGUUUAGA